UAGGGAGCGAGCGUUGUCCGGAAUUACUGGGUGUAAAGGGAGUGUAGGCGGGAUGGUAAGUUAGGUGUGAAAUGUAUGGGCUUAACCCAUAGACUGCACUUAAAACUGCUGUUCUUGAGUGAAGUAGAGGUUAGCGGAAUUCCCGGUGUAGCGGUGAAAUGCGUAGAUAUCGGGAGGAACAUCAGUGGCGAAGGCGGCUGACUGGGCUUUUACUGACGCUGAGGCUCGAAAGCGUGGGGAGCAAA
Molecule: ribosomal RNA, 245 nt
Filed under: uncultured bacterium
Lineage: Bacteria
Description: partial 16S ribosomal RNA
Rfam family: Bacterial small subunit ribosomal RNA
Source: RNAcentral